AUAUCUGAAUCACAGGAGUUUCAUAAAGGGAAAAGAUUGAAAACAGAGAGAAUAAAUUGUAUCCAAAAAAGAAUGAAGUUAAUUCUGAAGAACUGAAGGGCUUGUGCUUAUACAAGGGAAGGGACCGUCAUAAAGGAUACACAAAUGCAGGCAGCACAAGAAAGGAAAACAGGCACAGAGAGUGCUGUCUCAUCAUUAUAACAUUUCACAACCAGCGGGCAAAGAAAAGAUCCUCAAAGCUUCCAGGAAUAAACAUACAUACCCUACACAAAGAAUUGAGCAACAUUGUUGCAAGAGGUCAUCUGAAUGACGUGACUGCAAAUUGACCUGGGAGCUGAACACUGGUAAUGGAAGUCUCCUCGCCACCCCCCACCCCAUUCAUCAGGCGUGCUUGGGGAGUGAGUUCGGCUUGCCUUCCCCAUUCCCAGAGGCUGCUCCAAGGACACAGCCUGCAGAUAGUGCUGUGGUCCUGAGACUCUGCGCGGUACUCGUGACUGAACCCAGUGAAGGCCUCUAUAUAGCCUUCUAAGAUUUGGUAGGCGGGUGCAGAGAUCUACCCCUCUCUAGCUAAAACCCCCAAGACAAGCCUCCCAAGACACGACUUCUGGAAAAAUCCAGGAAACAGGAACGCAGGAUACCAGAACAGCAGGGAAUCCGAUAAGGGGAGAGGAGACCCGCGGCAGAAGGCUGGUGGAGAGAGAUCCCAGGACCACGGCGCUAUACAAGCUCUGAAAACAGGGAGAAGAGCACCCCAACAACAGGAUCAACUGUGUUACCUGUAGACAACUGCAAGGGUCAAAAAGUGAUGGCCAUUCCAGUAGCAGUAUGUAUUUAGAAAGCAACUCCAUUUUAUUUUUCAUGCCAGAGACAGAAAACAAUGCAACCGUCUCACUUCAAUAAGGAACUAAAAAUCAAAUGGAAAACCAGACAAAUACAGAAUGGGUUUGGAACAAAGUUGCAGAGUUUCUGGGCCUCACUGUGCACAAGGUUUCAAAGAUCCACAUCAUGCUGUUCAGAAGCAGAAGUAAACAUUGCUGUGCAACAAUCAAUAUUUUUGUAGUUCUGCAAUGGCAGAGCACUCAGAAGCCGAAUGGGAAGUGACACAGACUCAGCCUGAUCAGCAAUCCUAAAUCAGAGACCUGGGCGUGACCCCAGUGGAGAGCCCUGCUGCCCUAAGAGACACAAGCCUUCCAGAAGAAGGAUAGAGCUUUUGGCAGCUUCUCACCCUGACUCUGAUAAGGAUAGCUAAUUGCACUUGCUUUACCACUUGAAAUUGUGUCUUCUUGGUGCACUGUGGAUUUUCAGAGGGUCUCUGAACGCUGCUUCAAAUGACAUCUCUUCCUCAAAUGGUAAAGAUUCAUCAUGACAGAUGAUGGACCCAGAGGAGAAAGGCAUCACAGACAAGUGGAAAUACAAGCAGUUCUUGCUGGAAGCUGACAGCAACCUCACACUGAGGCUGAGAUAUUGUUUUAUUGAAUAUGGGAGAAAGUAUCUGCUUAACAGCCUUGAAAAGCGAGUAUCUCAGAGAUGGGGUGCUUUGGUUUAUUAGACUUUCAUUUAUCUGAAAGCCCUUGAUACUUCAACUCAUCACUGGAAUUCUAUGAACUUGGAGGAGUCAAGUUCCCAUAUUAGUAUGUAUUUUAGAAGUACACUCAACAUGACUGAACUAGUGGCUGGGGAUUUGGCACAGAAGCUUGAAUUGUCAGUAGAUAUGGAUGAGGAACUUAGGAGGGAUUGGAGCUGAGUGAUACUGACCCUAGGACGUAUACCAAAAGGGCAUUUGUCCAUUAAUCAAAUAAUUAUUCAAUUUCUAUUCUCUACCAGGCAUGGAGAUCAAAUCUGCCUGAGUGGAAGGGGAAGAAUUGACAAAAUAUUUCACAAAUAAAUAUUUAAUCAGAGCCAGCUGUGUUUAAUGCUAUAAAAGCAGUGAGCAACUGACAAAGUAAACCAAGGGGCCCUUCCUUUGCUGGCAGUCAGUGAAAGCUUACUUGAGGAGCUGAUGUUUAACCCAAAACCAAGCAGAACAAAGAGCACUUACAAUUAUGUUUAAAGCAAAUUUCUGUCAUUUUAAACUGUUUUUAAUAUAAGCUGCAAAAAACUACAAUAUACAGAAUAACAGAAUAUCUUUUUCCAUACUCAAAUAUUGCAUCCGAAUAGCACACUUUAUUAGUAAAGUAUAUUUGCAAAUAUUAUAAUUGUUUUAAUUUGCAUUUUUUAUUGCUUCUGAGGCUGAGUAUCUAUUCAAAUAUUUAUUGGCUAUAUGGAUUUUCCCUUCUGGGUGUACCUAUUCCUAGCCUUCAUCCAUUACUUUGUACUUCAUUUCUUUCUUGUUGAUUAGGGAAUUUCUCCUGUUUUAGAGAUGAGCCCUUUGCCCAUACACUGAAAACCUCACUAAUUCUGGUGUUAUCAUUCUGUUUAUGGUCUUUUACCUUGUGCAGAGACUUUAAUAUUAACAUGGCCAAAAUGAACAGUCUUCUUAAAAUUGUGAGUGUUUUGGGCUUUGAUUAUCAUUAGUUACUUUAAGGUUGCAAAGGUAUUCUGUCCGCCUUUAAAUAAAAUUUGUUGUUUGGUGUGAA
Long non-coding RNA from Leopardus geoffroyi (Geoffroy's cat), 2576 nucleotides. RefSeq lists it as uncharacterized. Lineage: Eukaryota; Metazoa; Chordata; Mammalia; Carnivora; Felidae. The record is from RefSeq and is a predicted model, not a curated record. The transcript is spliced from 3 exons.